Long non-coding RNA from Doryrhamphus excisus (bluestripe pipefish), 2173 nucleotides. RefSeq lists it as uncharacterized. NCBI's taxonomy places the organism in Eukaryota, Metazoa, Chordata, Actinopteri, Syngnathiformes, Syngnathidae. The record is from RefSeq and is a predicted model, not a curated record.
UUUAACAAGAAUUGCAUUGUGGGAAGUUUAGUUUCUCUCUCUUCCCGCUCUCUUUGUUGUACCGCCCAUUGUCUUCUGAGUCCCGAUUGGCUGUAGACCAUUGUCAAUCAAUCUCCUUCAUGCCGCCUUGUUGUGUUUCCGGUGUCAGCUAGCUAGCUUGCGUACUUGCUAGUUUUCCUUCUUUGGAUGUUUGCAAGUUUCUCCCAAACAAAACCCACAAUGUUGACGAAAUGUUCUGUCAAAAGGCAGAGGAGGAUGCUAACCAUCGCACAAAAGGUUGGACUUCUGGACAUGCUGAAAGAAUUUAGAAGUUACGAGGCUCUAUGGCUCUAUCACAGAAUGAAUGAAUUUUCGGUUGGAGGAGUACUACAGCAAUAUGAUUUAACAAUGUUACAAAAACCAUACAAUACAGCGGAACGGCGCCAGGAUGAAAAGCUUUUGGAUGUCCAUGAGUGACAACUUGCAGAUCCUACAAUAACAUCCAUAGAAAUGGAGGUCUCACCUGCCUCAGUUAAGACAUAGGUGUGUUUACUUUCUAACUGCAGGAUGACUGAAGUGUUUGUGCACACCUGACCAUUCCGCACUGCUCACAUGGCCUUUGCCCCGAGGUGAGCGCGGAGCCAGUGGAGAAGGGUGUGGCCACGCAGAGGACGAAGACAUGCUACAUCCAUCAUGAUCAGGCCUCGUGAGGAAUGCCAGCUUCUUCAAACUGGGGCCAACCUUGCUUUUGUGCACCUUUUGACCUGAGGACUGAGGAGUGCCAUCAAGAAUGAGGUGUGACGGCUGCAAGCUGUCAGGCUGCAGAGGCAAGCAAUAUCGCAUCGCCAUAUGUCAAGGAGGCCAAGCCAUCGGUGCAGAGAGUCUGGAAAUCUGUCUUUUGUUUGCCUGGACACGUACAGACGCAGCCUUUUUCUCAACCUAACUUGCCCAUCAGCAGAGAAAUGAGAUGUCGAAGAGGCACUCUCAAGUCUUGACCCCGUGUUUGCUGUGUCCAGUGGGAGGUCAAAGGUUAGAUAGGCAGGUCUUUGCCAACCUGGUAAGUGGGCACUCAUCUUUUGGAUGUCACAUGACAGUGAAAAUCCUUCUUUUUUUCGCUUCACCUCAAGAACCUAAUUCUCUUUUUCACCGCGCUCCCAUCCUCAUUUACAUCAGGUCGUUUGUUAUGACUUUAUGAUUAUAUAUGAGCCUUUGUCUGGCUGUGCAUGUACCUGCACCACUCCCAGCUGGUCCCCAUUAAUAACAGGGCCCCGCUGUAGACAGCGCAAAAGAUACGGAGGAGCUUGUUAGCGUCAUUGGCGAGUACAGGGGCUCAGCAUGUGAGAGUGCAAGGGCCGACAGGACAGCAGGGAGAUGUACAAUACGCACACACACACACAUACACUUCCACACACCUGGAGUAUCCCCGGACAACAAAUUCGAAGUACAUGACACGAUGUCCUGCAUUUGUCCUGGCAAUUGCACAAAACCAUGAUGGCACAUUUGUGAAAAAGCACACGUGUAAAAUGUGUCAUUCUUAUGAUAGCAUAAUGAGGCUAGACUGGACGGAGCACGCCGAUGUACAGACUGGCUCCAUUGUGGGUCCCAAAUGGUGGCAGAAGCCUGUAAAAUCUGCGUCCCCUGAUCUCCGCUCCAGGAGUCGGCUGGGAAUAAAGGCGUGGAAAUAGGAUUUAUUUUGCACGCCUCAUCAAAAGGGAAUUAGCAGGGUUUGGGGAGGGAAAUGCGGGCUCUGUUUUGAGCUACUAUGAAUGGCAGGAUCAUCCCUGUAAUCCCUGGCCUCCCUCCUCUCUGCCUGCACCCCAGAAAAUGAAGACAAUUGCCCACAUUAGCUCUAAAGAUGCCUUUUGUAGCCUCAUCUUCACCCUCAAAACCAAAGAUCCUACAAGGAAAAAUACGAUAGGUAAGGGUUGAACCACCUGCUCCCGUUCUUCUUUUUCUUAUCUUUUAAUUCCUCCUCUUCCUUCAAAACAUGGCCGCGGAGCUGUCAGACUCGCUGAUACGAAGGCUGACAGCAGAGAGCUGGCGCGCCAACACGCCACAAACAACAAGCGAGCAUGUAAACUAAAGCAAACAAAGCCCCUCUUCGUUACUCUAAAGGCAGGAUCCCUCCCACCUGCCAUCCUGACGCUGAUGAAACAUACAGUAACACAGAGCAGCCAUUAAAUGGGGGAACAAG